GAACCCCAGAGGAGUGGGAACCAGACUUCUCCCACCCCAGGAAGACAGUGCUGGUUCAAAAUCCUUCAUUGGCCAAAAGGACAGUUUUACGCACAAGAAAAUGCAGGAGAACAGAAACAGGAAUCAUUGGCACGAACCCAAACCUCAAUGAUGCAGGUGACGUACAAGAAGAAGCAGGCUGUCUCCACUAAGCAUCUGGGGCCCAGCUGCUGCCCUUUGCCACCACGGGGAGGCAGCAGACCAACACCCACAUGUGGAACACACUUGGCACCCUACAGUGACCUCGUGGGUGUAAUGGUCAGUGCUUCACUGCCUCUUCCAAAUCGCACGCAAAUUUCUCCUGUGGCUAACUCUAACCCAGAACCAGACGGUGAAGGGAAUUCUGGGAAAUCAGCUCCACCUUAGCUAAACAAAAAGCCGCUGUACCAGGUUUCAUCCUGUCAAUGUAUUUGUAGAUGCCUUUGAUUUUUCUUUAUAACACUAAAUACAGAAUAAUUCGAAUAUACAAGAGAAUAUAAAUACAGAGUCUUUCCAUGGUUUCCUUUAUGAAAUUACUAACUUUCUGUCAUCUUGAGUACCCAGUCAUCUUGGAUCAUUUCUUGCCAUGUGCUUAUUGGGAUGAAUUAAAACUACUGGCCUAUUUGUAUUUCACUUAUAUAUAUGAAAUGUUGAGUCUAUUCCUUAUACUUGCAGCAAAAACAGAUCCUCUGUGGUAUGUAUUUCAUGUAAAUGAGGAUUAGACAAACUUC
This 749-nucleotide long non-coding RNA is filed under the name Equus caballus (horse). RNAcentral's name for it is "lncRNA (ENSECAG00000042491.2)". Lineage: Eukaryota; Metazoa; Chordata; Mammalia; Perissodactyla; Equidae. The record is from RNAcentral.